RNAcentral lists this ribosomal RNA (647 nucleotides) under Acacia sinuata. RNAcentral describes it as "eukaryotic LSU rRNA". Lineage: Eukaryota; Viridiplantae; Streptophyta; Magnoliopsida; Fabales; Fabaceae. The record is from RNAcentral.
ACCUUAUCAUUUAGAGGAAGGAGAAGUCGUAACAAGGUUUCCGUAGGUGAACCUGCGGAAGGAUCAUUGUCGGCGCCACGCGAAAAGAGCGACCCGCGAACCGGUUGGAACCUAUCGCCCUGACAGGGMGGGGGAGGGWGRRGGCGCGCCCGAGGCCUCCCCCGGCAACCAAACCCCGGCGCCCCAGGCGCCAAGGAAACGAAUCAGGGCGGGGGCGAGCCCGCGGGCCGGGCUCCCCGCGCCACCUGCGCACCGUACGGAACGACUCUCGGCAACGGAUAUCUCGGCUCUCGCAUCGAUGAAGAACGUAGCGAAAUGCGAUACUUGGUGUGAAUUGCAGAAUCCCGUGAACCAUCGAGUCUUUGAACGCAAGUUGCGCCCGAAGCCUUCUGGCCGAGGGCACGUCUGCCUGGGCGUCACGCAGCGUCGCCCCGCCCCCCUCCGCGGGCGCGGGACGGAUGUUGGCCUCCCGGGGGCCUCGCCCCCCGGCCGGCCGAAACAGGGGCCCGGCGUGACGGACGCCACGAUCCACGGUGGUUGAGCGGGGACCCCGCUCGAGGCCAAGACGUGAGCGGGCCGUCCCACGGCGAGGGCCCGUCCCCCAACCGAACGCGACCCCAGGUCAGGCGGGGCUACCCGCUGAGUUU